RNAcentral lists this ribosomal RNA (253 nucleotides) under uncultured bacterium. RNAcentral describes it as "partial 16S ribosomal RNA". It matches the Rfam family "Bacterial small subunit ribosomal RNA", at positions 524 to 776 of the family's 1533-position model. The record is from RNAcentral.
UACGUAGGGUGCAAGCGUUAAUCGGAAUUACUGGGCGUAAAGCGUGCGCAGGCGGUUAUGUAAGACAGAUGUGAAAUGCCCGGGCUUAACCUGGGAACUGCAUUUGUGACUGCAUGGCUAGAGUUUGGCAGAGGGGGGUAGAAUUCCACGUGUAGCAGUGAAAUGCGUAGAUAUGUGGAGGAACACCGAUGGCGAAGGCAGGUCUCUGGGCUGACACUGACGCUCAUGCACGAAAGCGUGGGGAGCAAACGGG